This 289-nucleotide ribosomal RNA is filed under the name Campylobacter jejuni. RNAcentral describes it as "partial 23S ribosomal RNA". It matches the Rfam family "Bacterial large subunit ribosomal RNA", at positions 1 to 300 of the family's 2925-position model. The record is from RNAcentral. Lineage: Bacteria; Pseudomonadati; Campylobacterota; Epsilonproteobacteria; Campylobacterales; Campylobacteraceae.
GGUAAAAAAAAGGUAAGCUACUAAGAGCGAAUGGUGGAUGCCUUGACUGGUAAAGGCGAUGAAGGACGUACUAGACUGCGAUAAGCUACGGGGAGCUGUCAAGAAGCUUUGAUCCGUAGAUUUCCGAAUGGGGCAACCCAAUGUAUAGAGAUAUACAUUACCUAUAUAGGAGCGAACGAGGGGAAUUGAAACAUCUUAGUACCCUCAGGAAAAGAAAUCAAUAGAGAUUGCGUCAGUAGCGGCGAGCGAAAGCGCAAGAGGGCAAACCCAGUGCUUGCACUGGGGGUUG